GACGAACGCUGGCGGCGUGCUUAACACAUGCAAGUCGAACGGAAAGGCCCUGCUUUUGUGGGGUGUUCGAGUGGCGCACGGGUGAGUCACACGUGUGUAACCUGCCCUUGACUUUCGGAUAACUUCAGGAAACCGGGGCUAAUACCGGAUAUGAGCUCUUGCUCCAUGGUGGGGGUUGGAAAGUUUCGGCGGGUGGGGAUGUGCUCGCGGCUUAUCAGCUUGUUGGUGGGGUUGUGGCUUACGAAGGCUUCGACGGGUGGCCGGCCUGGGAGGGUGACCGGCCACAUUGGGACUGAGAUACGGCCCAGACUCCUACGGGAGGCAGCAGUAGGGAGUAUUACACAAUGGGCGGAAGCCUGAGGCAGCAACGCCGCGUGCGGGAUGACGGCCUUCGUGUGAUAAACCGCUUUCGCCUGUGACGAAGCGGGAGUGACGGUAAUGGGUAAAGAAGCACCGGCUAACUACGUG
Molecule: ribosomal RNA, 468 nt
Filed under: uncultured bacterium
Lineage: Bacteria
Description: partial 16S ribosomal RNA
Rfam family: Bacterial small subunit ribosomal RNA
Source: RNAcentral